UACGUAGGCAGCAAGCGUUAUUCGGAAUCACUGGGCUUACAGGGUGCGUAGGCGGCUUGUCAAGUAGGGUGUGAAAGCCCCCGGCUCAACCGGGGAAUUGCGCCCUAAACUGGCGAGCUAGAGUGAGAUAGGGGUGUGUGGAACUUCCGGUGGAGCGGUGAAAUGUGUUGAUAUCGGAAGGAACGCCGGUGGCGAAAGCGACACACUGGAUCUUGUCUGACGCUGAGGCACGAAAGCCAGGGGAGCGAACGGG
This 253-nucleotide ribosomal RNA is filed under the name uncultured bacterium. Its description in RNAcentral is "partial 16S ribosomal RNA". It matches the Rfam family "Bacterial small subunit ribosomal RNA", at positions 524 to 776 of the family's 1533-position model. The record is from RNAcentral.